Aedes albopictus (Asian tiger mosquito) is the source of this 7654-nucleotide RNA transcript. RefSeq lists it as uncharacterized. The record is from RefSeq and is a predicted model, not a curated record. NCBI's taxonomy places the organism in Eukaryota, Metazoa, Arthropoda, Insecta, Diptera, Culicidae. The transcript has 2 exons.
AACUGUUCUAACAGUGCGCGCCCAUUGUGUCUGUGCCUCUGUAGCAGCCCUGUCUUCGCAGCUUUGACGGCCUGACUUGGGAGUGACAGAACGACCGACUGUCACCAUCGUAAGUAGAUGAUUAGACAAAAGACAUCACGUUGAUUGAUAACACGGAGUGAAAUACUGCUAUCUGAAGUUAUUUUCUAUAAUUAAGUUCUAAAGUUAUUUUCUAUACUUAAAUCCCUAUUUGAUCUUAAACUACUUACAAGUGAAAUCAGGUAUAUGAAAUGUUUCGUGUAUACAAGCCUUAAUCUAAUAGAUUUUCUUGAAUUAGUGCGUAUUACUACAGUGCAAGUACUUUGCAAGCCGCAGAGCGUAUAACCUAUGUUUUCCUAAAGCUAAACCGAAACGGUGAGACAGCAUAAAUUAUGUAACAGCCUAAAAUUAUAAAAGAAUAUCCUUACAGCUACUAGGAACACAAAUACCACUCAAGACCCUCCGGAUUACACUAGGGGAAACUAAACGUAAGUUGAAGCUCUAACUAAAUGAAAUACGCUAUGCGACUUAUAUUACGAAACAUACACUUACAUCUGUUAUUAUACUACAAAGUUAUAUGCUUAAUUACCAAUCAACCUUAAAUUGUAAACCUUAAAUUCUACCCUUCUUCCUCUCAUCCUCAUUAUGAUGCAGGAUUUUAUUAAUCUCCUAAAUAAAGAGCCGUAGAUUAUACAUUGCUCUGGAGGUUAAUUUUACGGAAAGAAAAACCCCUUCAGUCUGGGUGACUUGUUGAAACGAACUUCGACAAAUUAAUAAAAUCGUUUAUACGAAAGAUGUCUGGUCGUAAAAGUGGGAAAGAUGGCAAAAGCGGUUCAAAGGGCGCACGGUCAAAAGAAAAGCAGUCAGAAGUGAUCGAUGUCAGUGGUGGUGGUAAUAUAGUGGUGGUGGUCACGGACGAAGAAAAGGAUCUGGCAGGAGCUAAAAAGGAUGAUCAAGUCGCGGAACAGAGCUGUACGUUCUGCCAGGAGGAGGACAAUAACGACAUGGUUCAGUGCGACAAGUGUGAUAGAUGGAUCCAUUUUGCGUGUGUCGGCGUUACAGAGGAAAUCGCGGAUAGGAGCUGGAGUUGUCCCAAAUGCGUUGCUGCAACCGGGGUCCAGCAGUCUUCUUCUUCUACUACAAAUCGCCCUCCAGCUGGAUCGUCAACUCGCGCUGAACAACAGAAGUCAGCACCUUCCAAGCAGUUUAUCCCCAAACGUACACCUGGAACCGGCGGACACGAGCGCUGCAAUACGGUAUCGGAGCCGGCGGAAAAACUGAUUCCUACCUACGGGGUCGCUCGUCGUGGUAAAUCAACCGCUUCGCAGGCAUCUUCGUCAUCGCGUAGAUCCAUCCUACAAUUACAGCUACAGCGGCUCGAGGAAGAACAGGAAUAUGAAAAGCUACAAGCAGAGAAGCAUCGUGCAUAUCUGGACAGGAAGUACGAUUUACUGGAGCAGAUGCACAGUCGAACCGGAUCUGAGUGCAGUGGAUCCGAAGACCGUGUUAGACAGUGGGUUCAAGAUACCAACAACAUCCGCGUAGAGAAUGCAUUGGAUCCCCAGAGUGUAGAAGUCUUUGAUCCGCAGAGACAUUCGACACAGAACUACUCCGGAAGAGCUCAAAUUGGUUCUUCUCCAUUGGUGGACCGAUCCGGUAGAAACCAGAACCGAAUUGAAGCAGUACUUGAGCGUUGUGAUCUUCGUCGGGAACCUCGCGUCCAACCUUCAUCGAUUGGUAGGAGUUUUAUGGAACCGUAUGAACCACGAAGUCAGCAGCCAAGAAGGAAUUUCCGAGAAGCAGAUUUCCACUCUGGAAACCAUGAAGAAGAUUUCGAGCCCUGUUCGUUUUCCCGUCAGCAGUUGGCAGCUCGUCAAGGAAUUUCUAAAGACUUACCCAAGUUUUCCGGAAAGUUCGAGGAAUGGCCGGUGUUUAUGUCAAUGUUUAACAGCACUACGAACAUGUGCGGUUUUACGAAUGAGGAGAACCUUAUCCGGCUCCAGAAGUCAUUGGAAGGAAAGGCGUAUGAAACGGCGCGGAGCCUACUGAUGCAUCCGUCGAACGUUCCGGCGAUUAUGCGUACUCUGAAAAUGAGAUUUGGCCAACCUGAAGCCGUUGUUCACUCCCUGAUUCAGAAGGUGAAUGCCCUACCAGCGAUUCGGGAAGAUCGCCUGGAGACGUUAGUGGAGUUCGCAGUUAACGUUCAAAAUUUCUGCGCCACGGUAGACGCGUACGAACUUGAGGAUUAUAUGUACAAUGUGUCUCUUCUACACCAGCUGGUGAACAAGCUCCCGGCCACGUUGAAACUAGAUUGGGCCAGGCAUCGGCAAAACGUUCAGCGGGUCAACUUGGCGACCUUUGGGAAUUGGGUAUAUUCAUUGGCCGAGGCAGCUAGCACCGUCGUCUUUCCGGUCGAUUCAGACGAGUCGAAGCCAACACGCAACGAUGGACGUGGUAACAAGAAGCCGAACGCAUAUGUAAACGCUCACUCUGAGACUGUCUCCGAAUCCAGUCGUCACCCAAAAACCGUUGACUCCGAUGGAGAACAGAGAGAACACAGUCGUGUACCUGUCUCAAAACCACCGGCCCUUGUUUCAGAGGUGUGUGCGGUGUGUAAAGGAGAAUGCAAAAACGCCUCAAAGUGCAAGCAGUUUCUGGAGCUGUCCCGUGAAUGUAGAUGGGCCAUUGUAAGAGAAUUCAAACUCUGCCGAAGUUGUCUACGUCGCCAUAAAGGAGGAUGCGACGCAAAACCGUGCGGGCGAAAUGGAUGCAUCUACAAACAUCACGAGCUGCUCCAUAGGGACCAGAACAUUCAACAACGCUCUGACCAAAUCAUACAAGAGUCAUCUACGUCCCGAGCACAGGUCUCCAUGCAACCAGAAUCUGCGACCCAAAUACCAACGCACGAUUGCAAUACGCAUCAAGCGAAGUCAAAUGCAGUCCUAUUCCGCUACCUACCCGUGGUACUCAGUGGACCUCAAGGUUCCAUCCAUACAUACGCGUUCCUGGAUGAGGGAUCGCAUCUAAGUUUGAUAGAUCAAGAACUGGCGGACCAGCUCAAAUUAAAAGGUGCAACGAUACCGCUGUGUCUUCGCUGGACAGGAGGAACCCAGCGAUGCGAAAAUGAUUCGCAAUCGGUUACCUUGGAGAUCUCAGGAACGAGCAAGGCGGCAAAGAACUUUCAACUAACCGGAGUGAGAACAGUCGACCACUUGUUGCUUCCAUAUCAGACACUAAACGUGGAAGAAAUGGGCCAUCAAUACCCACAUCUUAAGGGACUUCCCAUCGAUUCCUAUUACGACGUCCGACCAAGGAUCCUCAUCGGAAUGAAGCACGUGCAAGUCAGCCUUGUAUUGAAGAGCAAAGAAGGAAAUAUUGGGGAACCAGUAGCUGUUAAGACACGGUUAGGCUGGACAGUAUGCGGUGGAGAAAACACGGAAGGCGACGACGUAGGGAACCUAGUCCACUAUACUUUUCACGUGUGUUCGUGUGAUCGGGCAAGAGAUGACGAGCUACAUCAGACGGUGAAGAAGCACUUUGCUCUAGAAAGCCUCGGCAUCACAAAACCGGACAAACUUCUUAUCUCCACCGAAGACCAACGGGCUCAAGAUCUCUUGAAGCAACUGACUGUCUACGAUGGGGAGCGUUACACGACCGGACUGCUGUGGCGUCACAACAACGUCCGUCUACCAGACAACUACAAUAUGGCUCUGCGAAGACACCAGUGUUUGCAAAGACGUCUCUCCAAGGACCCAGAACUAGCAGAGAUGCUGCAUGGAAUGAUUGCGGACUACGUCGCCAAAGGAUAUGCCCGAAUGCUUUCGGAAGACGAACUAAACCGACGGUUUUCAAAGGUGUGGUACCUUCCAGUUUUUCCGGUUAUAAACCCGAACAAGCCAGGCAAGGUGAGGCUAGUUUGGGACUGUGCAGCUUGCUCCUUUGGCGUCUCGUUGAAUUCAGUCUUACUAAAGGGACCCGAUCAACUUUGUUCGCUGUUGUGUAUAUUGCUGCAAUUUCGAGAAAACAGAGUGGGCCUUACAGGGGACAUACGUGAAAUGUUCCACCAGAUACGAAUCCAGGAUGCAGAUCAACAAUGCCAACGCUUCCUGUGGUGGAACGAAAAGGGGGAAAUCGUGAUCUAUGUGAUGCAAGUCAUGACGUUCGGAGCCUGUUGCUCCCCUAGCUGUGCGCAAUAUAUUAAAAAUAUCAAUGCGGAGCGCCAUGCUGAAGACUAUCCAAAGGCUUCUGAAGUGAUCCAGAAGAAACACUACGUGGAUGAUAUGCUCGUCAGCCUAAAAUCCGAAGAAGAUGCUAUAACAACGGCGAGAGAGGUGAAAUACGUCCAUCAGCAAGGAGGGUUUGAGAUCCGCAAUUGGGUCAGUAACUCACCAGCAGUUCUGGAGGCUCUCAAUGAAAAGGGAUUAAGCGAGAAAGACCUAGAUUUAUCCCCAGAAAUCAGCACCGAGAAAGUCUUGGGUAUGUGGUGGUGCACUGCUUCAGAUACAUUCACCUACAAGAUUGGAUGGAAGCGAUACGACUGCGCUCUCAUGGAGGGCCACAGGCGUCCUACAAAGCGGGAAGUUCUACGAGUGCUAAUGUCAAUUUUCGACCCUCUUGGCCUCAUCGCUCACUUUCUUAUGUUCCUGAAAGUGUUGCUGCAGGAAGUGUGGCGCUCUGGCGUGCAAUGGGACGAGGAGAUAACCAAUGACGCAUUUACAAAAUGGCAGCGCUGGUUGAAGUUGUUGCCGCAAGUAGAGCAAGUUCGAAUCCCCAGAUGCUAUAGCUCACUAAUCCAGAACCCUGAAGAUGAAGCAGAGCUCCACAUUUUCGCUGAUGCCAGUGAAGGCGGAAUGUCCGCUGUCGCCUAUCUACGGUUUGUCAAGCGCCAGACCAUCGAGUGUAGGAUCGUUGCAGCAAAGACUAGGGUAGCACCUUUGAAGUUCGUGUCCAUUCCCCGACUGGAGCUACAGGCUGCUGUAGUUGGUGCUAGGCUAGCUCACACGAUUGCGGACGCCCUGUCUUUGAAAAUAUCCAGGAAGUAUUAUUGGACCGACUCUCGCGAUGUACUUUGUUGGCUGAAUGCGGACCAUCGUCGAUACACGCAGUUUGUUGCAUUCCGUGUCAGUGAAAUUUUGGAGACUACCGAGGCAAAUGAGUGGCGCUGGGUACCAUCUAAAAUGAAUGUUGCAGACGACGGUACCAAGUGGGGCUCCCGGCCCGACCUUACACCCGAUAGCAGAUGGUUCGUAGGCCCAGAAUUCCUAAGGCUACAAGAGACGGACUGGCCCCAGCAACCUACGGAAAACCGCUCUACAGAGGAGGAACUUCGUCCCAGUUUCCUUGCCUGUCACGUUCCCUGUGAACCACUUGUGAAUCCAAGAGAUUUUUCUGGCUGGAAGCGUAUGCUAAAUGCCACUGCCUUCGUCAUCCGAUUCCCGACUAACUGUCGCCGCAAAAUCUUCAGAAAGCCAACUAUCAGUGGGCCCGCAACGAAGGAUGAACUAGUUUCUGCUGAAGCUUACCUUCUGCGCUCAGCUCAACGCGAUGGGUAUCCAGAAGAGAUUGCCAUCUUGGAGAAAUCACAGCAUACCCCCAGUAACUCUAGAACAAUACCGAAGCAGAGCAGCGUGUAUCAGUUAACGCCAUGGUUAGAUAGCAGAGGAUUGAUGCGAAUGCGGACAAGGAUUGCAGCCUGCCAAUACGCCACGGAAGAUGCAAAGAAACCAAUCAUCCUACCACGUGACCACCCAACCACAAGCUUAAUAAUUGCGUACUACCACCAAAAAUUCCAUCAUCAGAAUCAUGAAGCAGUGGUCAACGAGCUCCGACAGAAAUUCUACAUUCCACGCAUCCGUGCUGCCUAUGCCAAGGUAAAGAAGAACUGCCAAAGAUGUAAAAACGACCAUGCAAAUCCACGACCACCAAUUAUGGCCGAUCUUCCGACAGCACGGCUUGCAGCGUACUCGCCACCCUUUACACAUACAGGGAUUGAUUUCUUCGGGCCGUACGAAGUAACCGUUGGUAGACGCACUGAAAAACGUUGGGGAAUGCUCGCAACGUGUUUGACAAUCCGGGCAAUCCAUCUCGAACUGGUUCCUUCUUUAACCACAGACUCCUGCAUAAUGGCUAUCAGAAAUUUCAUGGCACGCCGUGGUACGCCCAGUGUAAUAUAUAGCGAUAGAGGAACCAACUUCAUUGGGGCAUCCCGACAGAUGAAAGAGGCCGCCGCAGCAGUUAACGUGGACGACAUAAUGAAGGAGUUCACUUCUGUCGAUACAACCUGGUCGUUUAACCCACCCCUUGCGCCACACAUGGGAGGCAGCUGGGAGCGACUAAUAGGAAGUGUAAAACGAAACCUACAGAAGAUCAACCCUCCCAGAAACCCAACCGAUGAAGUCCUGCGCAACGUUCUAAUCGAAGUUGAAAACACCAUCAACUCUAGACCGCUAACCCAUGUCCCGGUCGAUGAUGACAGUGCCCCAGCCUUGACACCGAACCAUUUCCUUCUUGGUUCCUCAAACGGGAUCAAGCCCUAUACUACUUUCGACGACAGCAGCAGUGCUCUCCGCCAAAACAUCUUAGCCUCCCAGGUACUAGCCAACACGUUCUGGAAGCGUUGGCUAAGUGACUAUCUGCCAGAAAUCACCAAACGGUCCAAGUGGUUUUGUCAAACCACUCCAGUAGCCGUAGGAGACGUGGUAGUGAUCGCCGACCCUCGGCUACCUCGCAACUGCUGGCCUAAGGGAAAGGUCAUCGAAACUCAUCCGGGCAAAGAUGGAGAAGUUCGCUCAGCUACAGUACGAACGUCUACAGGAGUCUACGUUCGAGCGGUCACCAAACUGGCAGUUCUGGACGUAAGGCGCGAAGGAAGUAAGCCAGCCUGAGGACUGUCGUACCCGGGGGGAGUGUGAACUGUUCUAACAGUGCGCGCCCAUUGUGUCUGUGCCUCUGUAGCAGCCCUGUCUUCGCAGCUUUGACGGCCUGACUUGGGAGUGACAGAACGACCGACUGUCACCAUCGUAAGUAGAUGAUUAGACAAAAGACAUCACGUUGAUUGAUAACACGGAGUGAAAUACUGCUAUCUGAAGUUAUUUUCUAUAAUUAAGUUCUAAAGUUAUUUUCUAUACUUAAAUCCCUAUUUGAUCUUAAACUACUUACAAGUGAAAUCAGGUAUAUGAAAUGUUUCGUGUAUACAAGCCUUAAUCUAAUAGAUUUUCUUGAAUUAGUGCGUAUUACUACAGUGCAAGUACUUUGCAAGCCGCAGAGCGUAUAACCUAUGUUUUCCUAAAGCUAAACCGAAACGCUACUAGGAACACAAAUACCACUCAAGACCCUCCGGAUUACACUAGGGGAAACUAAACGUAAGUUGAAGCUCUAACUAAAUGAAAUACGCUAUGCGACUUAUAUUACGAAACAUACACUUACAUCUGUUAUUAUACUACAAAGUUAUAUGCUUAAUUACCAAUCAACCUUAAAUUGUAAACCUUAAAUUCUACCCUUCUUCCUCUCAUCCUCAUUAUGAUGCAGGAUUUUAUUAAUCUCCUAAAUAAAGAGCCGUAGAUUAUACAUUGCUCUGGAGGUUAAUUUUACGGAAAGAAAAACCCCUUCAGUCUGGGUGACUUGUUGAAACGAACUU